Molecule: ribosomal RNA, 499 nt
Filed under: uncultured bacterium
Lineage: Bacteria
Description: partial 16S ribosomal RNA
Rfam family: Bacterial small subunit ribosomal RNA
Source: RNAcentral
GACGAACGCUGGCGGCGUGCCUAAUACAUGCCAGUCGAGCGAAGUUUUUCUGGUGCUUGCACUAGAAAAACUUAGCGGCGAACGGGUGAGUAACACGUAAAGAACCUGCCUCAUAGACUGGGACAACUAUUGGAAACGAUAGCUAAUACCGGAUAACAGUAUUUCUCGCAUGAGAGAUAUUUAAAAGUUGGUUAUGCUAACACUAUGAGAUGGCUUUGCGGUGCAUUAGCUAGUUGGUGGGGUAAAGGCCCACCAAGGCGACGAUGCAUAGCCGACCCGAGAGGGUGAUCGGCCACACUGGGACUGAGACACGGCCCAGACUCCUACGGGAGGCGGCAGUAGGGAAUCUUCCGCAAUGGGCGAAAGCCUGACGGAGCAACGCCGCGUGAGUGAAGAAGGAUUUCGGUUCGUAAAGCUCUGUUGUUAGGGAAGAAUGGAUAUGUAGUAACUAUACAUGUAAGAGACGGUACCUAACCAGAAAGCCACGGCUAACUACGUG